CCUACGGGAGGCAGCAGUGAGGAAUAUUGGUCAAUGGACGAGAGUCUGAACCAGCCAAGUAGCGUGAAGGAUGACUGCCCUAUGGGUUGUAAACUUCUUUUAUAAAGGAAUAAAACGAGGCACGUGUGCCUUUUUGCAUGUACUUUAUGAAUAAGGAUCGGCUAACUACGUGCCAGCCGCCGCGGUAAUACGGAGGAUCCGAGCGUUAUCCGGAUUUAUUGGGUUUAAAGGGAGCGUAGAUGGGUUGUUAAGUCAGUUGUGAAAGUUUGCGGCUCAACCGUAAAAUUGCAAUUGAUACUGGCAGUCUUGAGUACAGUUGAGGUAGGCGGAAUUCGUGGUGUAGCGGUGAAAUGCUUAGAUAUCACGAAGAACCCCGAUUGCGAAGGCAGCUUACUAAACUGUGACUGACAUUGAUGCUCGAAAGUGUGGGUAUCAAACAGGAUUAGAUACCCUUGUAGUC
This 460-nucleotide ribosomal RNA is filed under the name uncultured bacterium. RNAcentral's name for it is "partial 16S ribosomal RNA". It matches the Rfam family "Bacterial small subunit ribosomal RNA", at positions 338 to 795 of the family's 1533-position model. The record is from RNAcentral.